CACCGCGGUUAUACGAGAGACCCAAGUUGACAGACAAUCGGCGUAAAGAGUGGUUAAGUACAACAUAUCACUAAAGCCAAACACCUUCAAAGCUGUUAUACGCACCCGAAGGUCAGAAGCCCAAUCACGAAAGUGGCUUUAAACAAACUGAACCCACGAAAGCUAGGGCA
RNAcentral lists this ribosomal RNA (170 nucleotides) under Ctenochaetus striatus (striated surgeonfish). RNAcentral describes it as "partial 12S ribosomal RNA". The record is from RNAcentral. Lineage: Eukaryota; Metazoa; Chordata; Actinopteri; Acanthuriformes; Acanthuridae.